This 457-nucleotide ribosomal RNA is filed under the name uncultured bacterium. RNAcentral's name for it is "bacterial SSU rRNA". It matches the Rfam family "Bacterial small subunit ribosomal RNA", at positions 28 to 506 of the family's 1533-position model. The record is from RNAcentral.
GACGAACGCUGGCGGCGUGCUUAACACAUGCAAGUCGAACGAUGAACCACUUCGGUGGGGAUUAGUGGCGAACGGGUGAGUAACACGUGGGCAAUCUGCCCUUCACUCUGGGACAAGCCCUGGAAACGGGGUCUAAUACCGGAUAACACUGCCACGGGCAUCUGUGGUGGUUAAAAGCUCCGGCGGUGAAGGAUGAGCCCGCGGCCUAUCAGCUUGUUGGUGAGGUAAUGGCNCACCAAGGCGACGACGGGUAGCCGGCCUGAGAGGGCGACCGGCCACACUGGGACUGAGACACGGCCCAGACUCCUACGGGAGGCAGCAGUGGGGAAUUUUGCGCAAUGGGGGAAACCCUGACGCAGCAACGCCGCGUGGAGGAUGAAAUCCCUUGGGAUGUAAACCCCUUUCGAUCGGGAAGAUAAAUGACGGUACCGAGAGAAGAAGCCCCGGCUAACUUCGU